UACGGAGGGUGCAAGCGUUAUCCGGAUUUACUGGGCUUAAAGGGUGCGUAGGCGGACAGGUAAGUCAGUGGUGAAAUCCCCGAGCUCAACUUGGGAACUGCCGUUGAUACUAUCUGUCUUGAAUACCGUGGAGGUGAGCGGAAUAUGUCAUGUAGCGGUGAAAUGCUUAGAUAUGACAUAGAACACCGAUUGCGAAGGCAGCUCACUACGCGGUCAUUGACGCUGAGGCACGAAAGCGUGGGGAGCAAACAGG
Molecule: ribosomal RNA, 253 nt
Filed under: uncultured bacterium
Lineage: Bacteria
Description: partial 16S ribosomal RNA
Rfam family: Bacterial small subunit ribosomal RNA
Source: RNAcentral